GGAUUAGUGGCGAACGGGUGAGUAACACGUGGGCAAUCUGCCCUGCACUCUGGGACAAGCCCUGGAAACGGGGUCUAAUACCGGAUAUGACCACCGGCCGCAUGGUCUGGUGGUGGAAAGCUCCGGCGGUGCAGGAUGAGCCCGCGGCCUAUCAGCUUGUUGGUGGGGUGAUGGCCUACCAAGGCGACGACGGGUAGCCGGCCUGAGAGGGCGACCGGCCACACUGGGACUGAGACACGGCCCAGACUCCUACGGGAGGCAGCAGUGGGGAAUAUUGCACAAUGGGCGCAAGCCUGAUGCAGCGACGCCGCGUGAGGGAUGACGGCCUUCGGGUUGUAAACCUCUUUCAGCAGGGAAGAAGCGCGAGUGACGGUACCUGCAGAAGAAGCACCGGCUAACUACGUGCCAGCAGCCGCGGUAAUACGUAGGGUGCGAGCGUUGUCCGGAAUUAUUGGGCGUAAAGAGCUCGUAGGCGGCCUGUCGCGUCGGAUGUGAAAGCCCGGGGCUUAACCCCGGGUCUGCAUUCGAUACGGGCAGGCUAGAGUUCGGCAGGGGAGAUUGGAAUUCCUGGUGUAGCGGUGAAAUGCGCAGAUAUCAGGAGGAACACCGGUGGCGAAGGCGGAUCUCUGGGCCGAUACUGACGCUGAGGAGCGAAAGCGUGGGGAGCGAACAGGAUUAGAUACCCUGGUAGUCCACGCCGUAAACGUUGGGCACUAGGUGUGGGCGGCAUUCCACGUCGUCCGUGCCGCAGCUAACGCAUUAA
RNAcentral lists this ribosomal RNA (763 nucleotides) under Streptomyces cacaoi. RNAcentral describes it as "bacterial SSU rRNA". It matches the Rfam family "Bacterial small subunit ribosomal RNA", at positions 89 to 863 of the family's 1533-position model. Lineage: Bacteria; Bacillati; Actinomycetota; Actinomycetes; Kitasatosporales; Streptomycetaceae. The record is from RNAcentral.